RNAcentral lists this ribosomal RNA (270 nucleotides) under unidentified marine bacterioplankton. RNAcentral's name for it is "partial 16S ribosomal RNA". It matches the Rfam family "Bacterial small subunit ribosomal RNA", at positions 65 to 339 of the family's 1533-position model. RNAcentral also lists the same sequence under 1 other name. The record is from RNAcentral.
AGCGAUGAGAUCACUUCGGCGAAGGAUUAGCGGCGAACGGGUGAGGAACACGUGAAGAAUCUGCCUUCAACUCUGGGAUAACUCCGGGAAACCGGGGCUAAUACCGGAUAUGAGCCUUGAUCGCAUGAUCGGGGCUGGAAAGUUUUCGGUUGAAGAUGACUUCGCGGCCUAUCAGCUUGUUGGUGAGGUAAUGGCUCACCAAGGCGACGACGGGUAGCCGGCCUGAGAGGGCGACCGGCCACACUGGGACUGAGACACGGCCCAGACUCC